RNAcentral lists this transfer RNA (74 nucleotides) under Methanobacteriota archaeon. Its description in RNAcentral is "Euryarchaeota archaeon tRNA-Thr". It matches the Rfam family "tRNA". Rfam says of the family: Transfer RNA (tRNA) molecules are approximately 80 nucleotides in length. The record is from RNAcentral. Lineage: Archaea; Methanobacteriati; Methanobacteriota.
GCCGCAGUGGCUCACGCAGUGGGAGCGCCCGCCUCGUAAGCGGGAGGACGCCGGUGCAAGUCCGGCCUGCGGCC